This 253-nucleotide ribosomal RNA is filed under the name uncultured bacterium. Its description in RNAcentral is "partial 16S ribosomal RNA". It matches the Rfam family "Bacterial small subunit ribosomal RNA", at positions 524 to 776 of the family's 1533-position model. The record is from RNAcentral.
UACGUAGGGGGCAAGCGUUGUCCGGAUUUAUUGGGCGUAAAGCGCUCGCAGGGGGUCAGUCGCGUCGUGCGUGAAAGACCCCGGCUCAACUGGGGAGGGUCGUGCGAUACGGGCGGACUGGAGGCCAGUAGGGGGAUGCGGAAUUCCGGGUGUAGUGGUGGAAUGCGUAGAGAUCCGGAGGAACACCAGCGGCGAAGGCGGCAUCCUGGACUGGUCCUGACACUCAUGAGCGAAAGCGUGGGGAGCGAUCCGG